GGGCGUGGCGGCGUGCCUAAACUUGCAAGNCUGAACGAAAGCGCUUUUUCCCGAAAUCUCCGGAGGAGGGAAACCGGCGAACCGGUCGGGCGGAACGGGUGAGUAACGCGCGGGGAAACCGCCCCGUACCGGGGGAUAACAGCCGGAAACGGCUUGCUAAUACCGCAUAAGCGCACAGUGCCGCAUGGCACGGUGUGAAAAACCACGGUGGUACAGGAUGGCCCCGCGUCUGAUUAGUUGGUUGGCAGGGUAACGGCCUACCAAGACGGCGAUCAGUAGCCGGCCUGAGAGGGUGAACGGCCACACUGGGACUGAGACACGGCCCAGACUCCUGCGGGAGGCAGCAGUGGGGAAUAUUGCACAAUGGGGGAAACCCUGAUGCAGCGACGCCGCGUGAGCGAGGAAGUAUUUCGGUAUGUAAAGCUCUGUCAGCAGGGAAGAAGAAUGACGGUACCUGAAGAAGAAGCACCGGCUAAAUACGUGCCAGCAGCCGCGGUAAUACGUAUGGUGCAAGCGUUAUCCGGAUUUACUGGGUGUAAAGGGAGCGCAGGCGGUUCUGCAAGUCUGAUGUGAAAGCCCGGGGCUCAACCGCGGGACUGCAUUGGAAACUGCGGGACUGGAGUGUCGGAGGGGUAAGCGGAAUUCCUGGUGUAGCGGUGAAAUGCGUAAAUAUCAGGAGGAACACCGGUGGCCAAGGCGGCUUACUGGACGAUGACUGACCCUUGAGCUCCAAAGCCUGGGGAGCAAACAGGAUUAAAUACCCUGGUAGUCCACGCCGUAAACGAUGAAUACCAGGUUUCGGG
RNAcentral lists this ribosomal RNA (803 nucleotides) under uncultured bacterium. RNAcentral describes it as "bacterial SSU rRNA". It matches the Rfam family "Bacterial small subunit ribosomal RNA", at positions 31 to 827 of the family's 1533-position model. The record is from RNAcentral.